This 21-nucleotide non-coding RNA is filed under the name Arabidopsis thaliana (thale cress). The record is from RNAcentral. Lineage: Eukaryota; Viridiplantae; Streptophyta; Magnoliopsida; Brassicales; Brassicaceae.
UUCUAGACCAAACUAUUCAGG